UACGAAGGGGGCUAGCGUUGCUCGGAAUCACUGGGCGUAAAGCGCACGUAGGCGGAUCUUUAAGUCAGGGGUGAAAUCCCAAGGCUCAACCUUGGAACUGCCUUUGAUACUGGGGAUCUCGAGUCCGGAAGAGGUGAGUGGAACUGCGAGUGUAGAGGUGAAAUUCGUAGAUAUUCGCAAGAACACCAGUGGCGAAGGCGGCUCACUGGUCCGGUACUGACGCUGAGGAGCGAAAGCGUGGGGAGCGAACGAGG
This 254-nucleotide ribosomal RNA is filed under the name uncultured bacterium. Its description in RNAcentral is "partial 16S ribosomal RNA". It matches the Rfam family "Bacterial small subunit ribosomal RNA", at positions 524 to 777 of the family's 1533-position model. The record is from RNAcentral.